GGAGGUAUAAGUUAAGUUUAUUAAACUGUGUGGUUCAUGUUCACGUAAUACGGAUAUCGUUUCCUCCU
Molecule: transfer RNA, 68 nt
Filed under: Echinostoma revolutum
Lineage: Eukaryota; Metazoa; Platyhelminthes; Trematoda; Plagiorchiida; Echinostomatidae
Also listed under: 1 other name
Description: tRNA-Met
Source: RNAcentral